Homo sapiens (human) is the source of this 4744-nucleotide long non-coding RNA. Lineage: Eukaryota; Metazoa; Chordata; Mammalia; Primates; Hominidae. The record is from Ensembl.
AGAGGCGGGGAGGCAGGUGGUCCAGGUGCGCCCCUGCCCGGGGGGGCGAGGCGUCCGGCGGGAAGGCUGCAGCGACCGCAUGGAGGAAGGGGCGGCAGGUGCGCGGCGCUGGAAGAACCGGCGGCUGGGAGAGCAUCUCUGCCUCGCCCAUCUUGCCCCCUCCCCACCUCCGCUCUGGCGUUGGGACGGGAGGAGGAGGGAGGAAUGGAACCAGGGAGUCCGAAGUACAGCUUUGACAACUGUCGCGCUGGCCGGCUGAUCUGGGCACAACGGUUUUGACACGCAUCAAGUGGAGAAUUUGCUCAACUUUAAUUUUUCAGUCAGAAUUGUGAUCAGCAGAUCUGUUUUCACUACCUCAAGGUACACAGCCCCAAACACUGCCCAUCCCCAGCUCCCCAUGCACAUCUUUCCUGUUGGAGAAACCAGGAGAGAGAUGAGCAUUUCUGUUCCAGUUCCGAACUCCCCAGAGAGAUUCUGAUGGGCCCAGCUUAGGUCAGGGGAUAGUCUUCACUCAAGAGUUCCUGAGAUAACAGAGACUGGAGUAGCAGGCAUUGCAGAACUGAUUUUAUAAAGGAAGAACGUGUACCAUAAAUAUUGCUAGUUAAGAGCAUGUAUACUGUUGAGUUCUACCUCCUCAGAAGUCUAAAAGGUUUCCUUCCUUUGAGGGUGAAGAAGCAGUAACAGGCGUCCUCCAUCAGACCCCUCUCUGUGGGCACCUAGAACACUUCCCAUUGACGUCUGCUUCAAGGGGAGGUCACUAAAAGUGCCCCACAUGAUGCAGCAGACAUUUCGCUGGUCCCAGUGCCCUCCCCAAGACCUUCCAGAUGGUGAAGUGUUAAGAGUCUAAAAUGGAGUAAAUGAUCUGCAGAAAUUCAGUGGUGUCAGAGGAGCCAGUCCAAAGUCACUCGGCUCUAAACGCUGCGAUUCUAUUAUUUUAAUGAUGCCCAGGAACACAAAGAGGCACGACAGACCCAGAGAUAUGGCACGCACACUUGGGAAACCCAGAAUAAUGGGAACUCAAAACUGUUAUUCAUUCGAGAGCUCAUCAGUCCAAGAAGAUGCCACCUUGGUCAGAUGUGGAUGAGGCAUGACUGGACCGACCCUGUGGGCUCGGCACCCACCUGUGCUAUAAACUGUUCAUGUGAAAACUGUGUGCCCCUGGGUUGUCUGACCUGCAGCUGUACCGCACUUUUAGUACAAUGCCUGCCACCCACAGGAGUGUUGUCACAAUUGAAGUGAAUGCUAUAAAGCAUUGUGAGCAACUCAAAAGAAGGGUGCUGCUUAACUACCCAAAAUUACUAUACACCCACAGGCUGGAUGUUGCAGAAGAAACUUUUCUCUCUCUUUUCCUUUCCCCUGAGCAUUCUUCCAUAUCUCCCACCACAUGAGAGCAAACAACUGAUUGGGGUUUCUGAUAACUUUGGAGAUGUGACAUCAGAAUAGAGGAAAAACGUUCAGGACUCUUGAAGAGUUAAAAUAUUCAUUAGUAUCAAGCAGGACAGGAAUUAACUGCAUGAACUGAACUAAUAGGAGACUGAAGUGAUCUUUUUGACUUUUUGCUUAAAAUGUUGCUAAUCCUUUGUUUUGCUUUUCAGAGUCAAGGAGACUUUUGAGCUAUUGACAGCUUUUAACAAUUAAGUAAAGUAUACUCCUAUGAACAAAAUUUGGAGCAUAUUUGUUUCUCUCUACCUGAUUCCAAAAUUUGGAAACUAUUUGCGAGUAUUCUUAAUUUAUGGCAAUAUAGUUAUUUGCAUAAGUGCAACAAGAAUCUGUUUUCUUUCGUAAGAGGACACAGUUGGAAAAACUGGUUAUUUUACCAAGGGCUUUGACUGGAAUGGUAUGCUCUCCUUUAAGGAAUCAAACUUGACUUAUGGAGCCAAUAAAGCCCUUGGAAAACUGGCCUCAUAUUUUGCAUACACAGUCCCUGUACAGGGUUUCUGAUCUGUGGUAAGCAAACAAUGUCACUUUCCAAGAGGCCAGGAACCCCAAGUUAUCUUGGAACCUCAAGAGGAGAGGAAUUCACCCAAUUCAUAGGUAUUUGAUGGUACAAAUCCAUGGCUGGGCUUGGCUUUAAAAAGGUCUCAUCUUAGAUUCCUUCUAUGGAACAAAGUUCCAUCAAAGCCAAUAUAAAAGACCUAUGUGAAAAUAAUUAUUCUUGCUGCACUUUAUACAAAUAAUCUGGCCAAAUAUAAUAAAGCAUACCAGUCCUACCAUGAAGAGAGAAAAAUUAUGUUUCAAAACUAUAGUAUACCUGUUAAAUUCUAGUCUUGCCUGAUUUUUUCAGUUUUUAUUGUUUUCUACAGUUUGGAUUAAAUUCUAAUUUUUUGGCUACAGGUCUCCAAAAUAAUGUUUUCAAUUUUUCCCUUUUUCUUUUCCUUUUCCCCCAUUCUUCCUAAUUGGAAAUCACUGAAACCUGAGCUGUGCUUUCGUAAAGCCCUGCAAACUUAAGACUAGACAACUUAAACUUUAGAAGAAAACAGCAGCAACCUCUUUAUAUGUGUUGCUGUUGCAUACUAUUCUAGGCCCCCGAAAUAGAGCCAAUAGAGGGAACAAAUCAACCACCUCCACUCCAGCACUGCAUUCAGUCCCCAUAAUGAUGACCCUCUCUCAGCAGGAAGUAGCCAGAAAGAUUAUGAUGCCCCAUAUCCCUAUGAUCUUGUGAUAAAUAAAUAUACAAGCAUGAUAGAAAUCAUGCACAAAUUGACAGUGGUGAUUGUGGCAGGCCAGGUCUCACUAAUGCAGGCCUGCAUUACAACAACUGUCCCAGCUCUGACUGAGUAGCUAGGUUAAACAUUAAAAGCUGAUUGAGCCAGUGCCCUUAUACAAAGGCUGGAAUGUAACAAAGAGCCCACCAAGAGUUUUGCCUAGGCUUUUCAUGGGCCUUGAAGUUUGACAAGAUAAUGAAGGAAUUCUUAACAGGACCCUUUUAGGAUUAAACAAGUUUUAUUGGGGGGUCUGAAGAAACUCCUCGGGCCUCCACAAACAAGUUUAUUGAGAUCUAAAGGAACUCCCCAAACCUCCAUGAUUUAGCAGGAGACAAGAUAAGGGUAAUCACCCCAGCACCUAGACCCAUUUAGAUUAAGUAAACUUACUGAGGCUCUAGAAGGUCUUCAGGACUCAGACCUUAGUUAUAGAUUAAAAGAAGUUAAUCACUUAUGUCUUUAGAUUAAUUCACUCAGUUACACAUAGACAUAUAGCUUAGAAGGUAUAUAAGCUCUGGAAAACUUUGUAAUUUUGAGUUGGUCUGGCAAUAAUUUCCAGGCCUUCUCCCUGUAACUGGUUACAGAAAUACUCUCUUCGUCCCCAGUUCAUCUGCAUCUCAUUAUUGGGCCACGAGAAAUAGCAGCCCAACCCCCAUAUUGGUUCAGGAACAAUGCCAAGAGCAUGCUGUAAUCCCCUCUAUACAGUAGUCCCCCUUAUCUUCAUAGAAUACAUUCCAAGAACUUCAGUGGAGCCUAAAGCUGCAGAUAGUACCAGACCCUAUAUAUAUUUUCUUUUUAUACAUACGUACCUCUGAUAAAAUUUUUUUAAUAAGGUUCAGCUAACAGAUUAACAAUAAUAACUAAUAAUAAAAUAGAACAAUUAUACUACAGUAAAAUCAUACGCAUGUGGUCUCUCUCGCUCCUUCAAAAUAUCCCAUUGUUCUGUAUUCCUGUGGCAACAGCUUCUUCAUUAGCAGACACAGCCUCUCUAGUAAUUUAUAUAUUUUUCAGUCCAAACCUAUUCCUGAAUCUGUUAACUAUCCCUUACUUGCAAUAAAUGGCUUGGUGUCACUCGUUUCAGGGGAUCCCUUGCUGUAGGGAUCAAUGCUUGUCUUCAUACAGGCUCAAUGCUUUCUGGUGCAACGUGUUGCCAAUCAAAACACAUUUCUUUUAAUGUCUCCCACCUGCAAACUGAAUGCCUUUUUCAUCUUAACUAAGCACUUAUCAUACUCUAUGGCCAUGACGUUUACAGUUUGAGGUGCUGUAACCAGCACAAAUAUAUUUUUCUUUACAAAUUCACGGGUAAAAGAUUUGUUCUUAUAAAUUUUGUUAAUUUCAGCAAUUUUUUUUUCUUUCCUUGUUAAGUCAAGAACUUUCACCUUUUCACUUAAGUGAAGCACUUUAUAGCUUCUCUUUGGCAUAUACGAAUUGCCAGCAUCACUACUCUCGCACAUUGGGACCAUUAUUAAGUAAAAUAAGGAUUACUCGAACACAAGCACUGCGAUACUGCAACAAUCUGAUAGCCAAGAUGGCUACAAAGUGACUAACGGAUGGGGAACGUGUACGGCGUGGGUACGGGGGACAAAGGGAUGAUUCACAUCCUGGGUGGGACAGAGCAGGACAGCUUGAAAGUUUACACCCUACUGAGAACGUCACACAAUUUAAAACUUAUUAUUUAUUUCUGGUGUUUUCUAUUUAAUAUUUUUGGACUGCAGUUUACCAUAGAUAACUAAAACUGCAGAAAGCAAAAGUACCAAUAAGGAGUGACUACUGUACACCAGUCUUCAUCUCAGAGUCUGUUUCCAGGGAAGCCCACCCUGAGGGAAUGAGUGUUCACAUCUAUAAAAUACAGGGGUUAUGCUAUCAGAAGCAUGAGUCAACAAAAGAAAAAUAGAUUGUACUUCAAAAUGAAAAGCCUUUGUAAUUUUACCUGGAAAUGGCUGGAGGUGAUGAUUGCACGGCAACUGACUGUACUUAAUGCCACUGAACUGUGCUCUUGAAAAUGGAUAAAAUAGUAAAUUUAUGUUAUGUCUAAUUUUACC